This 492-nucleotide ribosomal RNA is filed under the name uncultured bacterium. RNAcentral describes it as "partial 16S ribosomal RNA". It matches the Rfam family "Bacterial small subunit ribosomal RNA", at positions 29 to 507 of the family's 1533-position model. The record is from RNAcentral.
AGUGAACGCUGGCGGUAGGCCUAACACAUGCAAGUCGAACGGCAGCACAGUAAGAGCUUGCUCUUACGGGUGGCGAGUGGCGGACGGGUGAGGUAUACAUCGGAAUCUACUUUUUCGUGGGGGAUAACGUAGGGAAACUUACGCUAAUACCGCAUACGACCUACGGGUGAAAGCAGGGGAUCUUCGGACCUUGCGCGAUUGAAUGAGCCGAUGUCGGAUUAGCUAGUUGGCGGGGUAAAGGCCCACCAAGGCGACGAUCCGUAGCUGGUCUGAGAGGAUGAUCAGCCACAUUGGAACUGAGACACGGUCCAGACUCCUACGGGAGGCAGCAGUGGGGAAUGUUGGACAAUGGGCGCAAGCCUGGUCCAGCCAUACCGCGUGGGUGAAGAAGGCCUUCGGGUUGUAAAGCCCUUUUGUUGGGAAAGAAAAGCAGCAGGUUAAUACCCCGCUGUUCUGACGGUACCCAAAGAAUAAGCACCGGCUAACUUCGUG